UGGGGAAUAUUGCACAAUGGGCGCAAGCCUGAUGCAGCGACGCCGCGUGCGGGAUGGAGGCCUUCGGGUUGUAAACCGCUUUGUUCAAGGGCAAGGCAGGCUUUCGGGCCUGUUGAGUGGAUUGUUCGAAUAAGCACCGGCUAACUACGUGCCAGCAGCCGGGUAAUCUCACGCU
This 175-nucleotide ribosomal RNA is filed under the name uncultured bacterium. RNAcentral's name for it is "partial 16S ribosomal RNA". It matches the Rfam family "Bacterial small subunit ribosomal RNA", at positions 355 to 529 of the family's 1533-position model. The record is from RNAcentral.